GUCUAUGUUUCCAGUGAAGCUGAACGUUUUUAUCUAAUUUAACUGCAAUUCUUUCUUGCCAUGUUUCGCUUCCGAUGUUAUAGCAUUGAACUAAUAUCCACACUCGCGGAAAGCAGCCUGUUCACACACACGGACCAGCCUAUCAGUCUGUGAAUUUUCAGUUCUCCUAGUGCCACGAAAGCGGGAACGGACUAAUUUGCUAUGCCGCGCAAUUACCCCUCUCUCAGGAUUGUCGUAUUUACUGUCGUAAUGUUUCUGCUGCUGUCCAGCGCCGCAGGAAAAGGUUGCAUUGCCGAAGAUUGUGCUCAUGAAUGUUCGAGUAAUAAAUUUCACACGGGCAGUUGCGCAGAAGGCAGCUGCGUUUGCAGCUCGAAGCACCGAAAUAUUCGAAUGAGUAGGCAACAGAUUUUGUUGUAAGGGAAAUGUCUUAAGGUAAUCGCCCAUUACGGAGUAAUUUUCUGAUGCUAUACCGCGUGCCUCCUGUAUCAAUAUAACAAAAACACAAAAAUAAAGCUGUAAAACAAUAAAAAGAAACAACAAUGUGGUGCUUA
This is a long non-coding RNA of Dermacentor andersoni, 551 nucleotides long. RefSeq lists it as uncharacterized. NCBI's taxonomy places the organism in Eukaryota, Metazoa, Arthropoda, Arachnida, Ixodida, Ixodidae. The record is from RefSeq and is a predicted model, not a curated record.